GAUUUCCGAUUGAUCCCGUCGGACCCCACUGCUAUCGAGGUGGGACUAAGCCAGGCCAGUCGAACGACUCGGACUAUGGCGAGAAGUGGCAAACUGCUCAGUAACACGUAGCUAACCUACCCUCGGGACGGAGACAACCCCGGGAAACUGGGGUUAAUACCCGAUAGGCGUGGAUUCCUGGAAUGGUGUCACGCCGAAACGUUAACACACCAUGUUUGUGUACACGCCCGAGGAUGGGGCUGCGGCCGAUCAGGCAGUUGGUGAGGUAACGGCUCAC
This 277-nucleotide ribosomal RNA is filed under the name Deltaproteobacteria bacterium. RNAcentral's name for it is "partial 16S ribosomal RNA". It matches the Rfam family "Archaeal small subunit ribosomal RNA", at positions 1 to 252 of the family's 1478-position model. The record is from RNAcentral. Lineage: Bacteria; Pseudomonadati; Myxococcota; Myxococcia.